This 462-nucleotide ribosomal RNA is filed under the name Centipeda infelix. Its description in RNAcentral is "bacterial SSU rRNA". It matches the Rfam family "Bacterial small subunit ribosomal RNA", at positions 28 to 465 of the family's 1533-position model. Lineage: Bacteria; Bacillati; Bacillota; Negativicutes; Selenomonadales; Selenomonadaceae. The record is from RNAcentral.
GACGAACGCUGGCGGCGUGCUUAACACAUGCAAGUCGAACGGAGCGAAUGAAAGCUUGCUUUUAUGAGCUUAGUGGCAAACGGGUGAGUAACACGUAGACAACCUGCCGACAGGAUGGGGACAACAUUCCGAAAGGAAUGCUAAUACCGAAUGAAGCGGAGGAGAGGCAUCUCUCCUCCGUGAAAGAUGGCCUCUAUUUAUAAGCUAUCACCUGUCGAUGGGUCUGCGUCUGAUUAGCUAGUUGGUGAGGUAACGGCUCACCAAGGCGACGAUCAGUAGCCGGUCUGAGAGGAUGAACGGCCACAUUGGGACUGAGACACGGCCCAGACUCCUACGGGAGGCAGCAGUGGGGAAUCUUCCGCAAUGGGCGCAAGCCUGACGGAGCAACGCCGCGUGAGUGAAGAAGGUCUUCGGAUCGUAAAGCUCUGUUGACGGGGACGAACGUGCGAGAGGUGAAUAAUC